Long non-coding RNA from Macrosteles quadrilineatus (aster leafhopper), 700 nucleotides. RefSeq lists it as uncharacterized. NCBI's taxonomy places the organism in Eukaryota, Metazoa, Arthropoda, Insecta, Hemiptera, Cicadellidae. The record is from RefSeq and is a predicted model, not a curated record. The transcript has 2 exons.
UAUAAUGUGCAAAACACACGAGUGCAAAAGGCCUUUGCUGCACUCGAGAUCAUUCUGCACUCGCCUGCGGCUCGUGCGUAAACAUUGCUCUCGUGUGCAGCAAAGUGCCACUUUGCCCACUAGUUACACAAAUGACUAUUACUUAACGUUGACUUGUGACCUACCUACAAUUUUAUUUGUUGCAUUAGAUUUGCAUAUAUUUGUUAGUUAGUUCUUGGUUUGGCAUUUAAUUUCUUAACCAACUAAUAAGCUGAUGAGAGUUUAUACAGUAUUAUAUACAUUCAUUGCUUAACAUUUGUUUCAGCUCGGUAGAUUAUUCCAAAGCAUGGACUUUAGUAUCACAUGCCAUAGCAAGAAAGUUUGGAAGAAGAAAAUGUUUGGUGUUCUUUGCAAUUAGACGGAAGAAUGACUUUAGACUAAAAAAGAUAUUAGUCGGUGCUCACUCCAACUCUAGUGUUCAAGAUUUUCGGUUCAAGUUUGCUAUUCAAGAAGUGAAGAACAAUUUUGUGCAAGAUGUCGGAUUGAACAAGAAAUUUUCUGUGUGAAUUAAAAGUGAGAAUCAAGUGUGGAACUCAUAUAAUUUUGUUACCUUGUACUCAUAAAAGUACAUUAAAUAUUUAAGUGAACUGCCUAAAUACUUCAGGCAUAUAUGUAAUAAAAAGCUGUCUAAUUUUAUACCAAUAAAAUUAUUUGUUUUGUA